Molecule: non-coding RNA, 288 nt
Organism: Vicia faba (fava bean)
Lineage: Eukaryota; Viridiplantae; Streptophyta; Magnoliopsida; Fabales; Fabaceae
Source: the annotation of a GenBank genome assembly
AUGGAGAUAUGGGCUGAACAGAGGAGGGCUUCACUAGAAAAUACUUUCAAGUUGAACAUUCAAACUUCAGGUUCAGAUUUGCUACCAAAGUUUGAAAGGUGUUAUAUGUGUUUUAAUGAAAUAAAGAAACCUAUGGAAUUGGCUUGUAGGCCAUUUAUUGAAAUGGAUGGAUGUCAUAUAAAACACAAGUAUGGUGAAAUUUUAUUAAUAAUUGUGGGAAAAGAUUCUAAUGAUCAGUAUUUGCCUAUUGCAUUUAGAGUGGUAGAAACUGAAUCAAAGAACACUUGA